AUUGAACGCUGGCGGCAGGCCUAACACAUGCAAGUCGAGCGGAGCGGCGGACGGGUGAGUAAUGCCUAGGAAUCUGCCUGGGAGUGGGGGAUAACGUACGGAAACGGGACCUAAUACCGCAUACUAUCAGAUGAGCCUAGGUCGGAUUCGCUAGUUGGUGGGGUAAAGGCUUACCAAGGCGACGAUCCGUAACUGGUCUGAGAGGAUGAUCAGUCACACUGGAACUGAGACACGGUCCAGACUCCGACGGGAGGCAGCAGUGGGGAAUAUUGGACAAUGGGCGAAAGCCUGAUCCAGCCAUGCCGCGUGUGUGAAGAAGGCCUUCGGGUUGUAAAGUACUUUCAGCGGGGAGGCGUUACCCGAAGAAGAAGCACCGGCUAACUCCGUGCCAGCAGCCGCGGUAAUUC
This 407-nucleotide ribosomal RNA is filed under the name uncultured bacterium. RNAcentral's name for it is "partial 16S ribosomal RNA". It matches the Rfam family "Bacterial small subunit ribosomal RNA", at positions 30 to 526 of the family's 1533-position model. The record is from RNAcentral.